AGGUUGAACGCUGGCGGCAUGCCUAACACAUGCAAGUCGAGCGGCAGCGCGGGGGCAACCCUGGCGGCGAGCGGCGGACGGGUGAGUAAGGCAUCGGAAUCUACCCCAAAGUGAGGGAUAAGCACCAGAAAUGGUGUCUAAUACCGCAUGUGCUCUUAGGAGUAAAGCUCCGGCGCUUUGGGAAGAGCCUGUGUAUGAUUAGCUUGUUGGUAAGGUAAAAGCUUACCAAGGCGACGAUCAUUAGCUGGUCUGAGAGGAUGAUCAGCCAGACUGGGACUGAGAACGGCCCAGACUCCUACGGGAGGCAGC
Molecule: ribosomal RNA, 309 nt
Filed under: uncultured prokaryote
Description: bacterial SSU rRNA
Rfam family: Bacterial small subunit ribosomal RNA
Source: RNAcentral